CUUAUGCAUGCAAGUCGAGCGAAGCUUUUCAGUAGUUUACUACAGAAAAUGACUGAGCGGCGAACGGGUGAGUAACGCGUGAGCAAUCUACCUUAGUUACAGGGAUAGCCCGAGGAAACUCGGAUUAAUACCUGAUAUUCUUUAUAUUUCGCAUGAAAUUAAAAGGAAAGGUCAGCCGAACUAAGAUGAGCUCGCGUUCUAUCAGCUAGUUGGUGAGGUAAAAGCUCACCAAGGCUACGACGGAUAGCUGGUCUGAGAGGACGAUCAGCCACACUGGGACUGAGACACGGCCCAGACUCCUACGGGAGGCUGCAGCAGGGAAUAUUGUGCAAUGAACGAAAGUUUGACACAGCGACACCGCGUGUGGGAUGACGGAUCUAGGUUUGUAAACCACUUUCAGGAGGGAAGAAAAUGACGGUACCUCCACAAGAAGCCCCGGCCAACUACGUGCCAGCAGCCGCGGUAAUACGUAGGGGGCGAGCGUUGUCCGGAUUUAUUGGGCGUAAAGAGCUCGUAGGCGGUUCAACAAGUCGUUCGUGAAAGUUCAGGGCUCAACCCUGAAAUGUCGAUCGAUACUGUUGUGACUAGGAUACGGUAGAGGUGAGUGGAAUUCCGAGUGUAGCGGUGAAAUGCGUAGAUAUUCGGAGGAACACCAAUUGCGAAGGCAGCUCACUGGGCCGCUAUCGACGCUGAGGAGCGAAAGCUAGGGGAGCAAACAGGAUUAGAUACCCUGGUAGUCCUAGCUGUAAACGAUGGAUACUAGACGUAGGAACUGGAUUGACGGUUUCUGUGUCGCAGCUAACGCGUUAAGUAUCUCGCCUGGGGAGUACGGUCGCAAGACUAAAACUCAAAGGAAUUGACGGGACCCCGCACAAGCGGCGGAGUAUGCGGCUUAAUUCGAUGAUACCCGUAGAACCUUACCUGGGACUUGACAUAUAGGGUCUAGCUAUAGA
Molecule: ribosomal RNA, 953 nt
Filed under: uncultured marine bacterium
Lineage: Bacteria
Description: bacterial SSU rRNA
Rfam family: Bacterial small subunit ribosomal RNA
Source: RNAcentral